Molecule: small RNA, 123 nt
Filed under: Klebsiella planticola
Lineage: Bacteria; Pseudomonadati; Pseudomonadota; Gammaproteobacteria; Enterobacterales; Enterobacteriaceae
Also listed under: 1 other name
Description: RtT sRNA
Rfam family: RtT RNA
About the family: This family represents a bacterial cis-regulatory element known as RtT RNA. The exact function of RtT is unknown although it is thought that it may be involved in changing the cellular response in relation to amino acid starvation.
Source: RNAcentral
ACUAUGUGCCAAAUUCAAUAAUUCGAACCUGCGGCAGGUUCGAGUCGAGCAAAGCGAGACAACGGAGUCGCUCGCGGCGACGGCCCGAAGGGCGAGCAAAGCGAGUUAUCCUGCAUCCCACCA